GCGGUGAGGGCGGCACCAUCUCGGUACGCCUGUUGUGGCGGGAGCUACAGACCUCGCGCGGCGGGUGUUCGACGGAAUGCCGCGCAGGAACGCCGCCACCGGCAACGCACUCAUCAGGUGGGGCAAAGGCAUUUGAGCUGUUCAGGACUUCUGGGGCAUGACGAGGCAGAAGGACAGUGAUGGGGCCUGUUAAUUUGUGUGGCAACAUUGUUGGGUGACAAAGAGUCAGUUUGACCGUUUCAACAAUGUGUCUUGAUUGUGUGGUGAUUCAUUAUUCGCUAGUGGUGAAGGGUGAAAUAUCGUGUAUCCUGGGUUCCUGACAAUAGGUAACUAUCCUCUAUGUGCAUUGUAAUUCCUUUCUUAUUGGCUCGUUCCACAUCUCGAAAAAGAGAAAAAUGUAGCGGGAUGGGUAUCAUCAUCACCAUCAAGGAACAAGUGUAGAUUCCUCAUAAUUUAAUUGAUGAGCAUUUGUUUUCUUAUUAUAAAUGCGUAGUCUUCAAGCAGUUGAAGCCUAAGCAGUCUGUUUGCAGUUCCUAUGAAGUCAAGUUAGUUACAUGAAUUUUUACAACAUCAUGCAAGACUUUUGUGCAGCUAUGGCUCAGUGAUGCACUUGGUUAUCAAAAUAUAGAAAGAAAAUGCUUUUGAGAAAGCAUCGGGGAUGCCAGAUGGUGCCUAAGUUGUUGAUGUUCAUUGACUGGCAACAAUGACCUUUGCAUGACUUAUGUUUCAUAGAAUAGCAGCUAGCAAUUUAUGUAUAAGUUAGUUUACUGAAAUUUUCUACCUUGAUUCAUUAAAAGAACUUCCAGAAAAUACAUUAUCCUAAACUUGGAAGUCAAAUGUGAAAUAUAUGUACUAAAACUUGGCCCUGAGAUAUCAAUAGUUCAUUUUCUGGUCAUCAUGAUGUUUUCAGGAAGGUGGAAUGGUAUCAGGGAUUGGGCUGCCAUCUGCCGUGCCUCCCAAAAUUUAGAGUAGACAGUUGAUAUAUCCACGCACCUAUUGAGGACAGCAAUGAGUUAUUAGAGUUAUUCAUGAUUACAGGCAUGCCAGCAGCAUAUAGUUCUGCCUGUGAGUGGGCUGCUACAUAAAGGAACACUGGGCUGGGACUGCAUACAAGUUGGGGGAGAAGAGUCAAAAAAUCUGUACGGUUGAUAUUUAUAGAAGCUUUUAUCACAUUUGACAUACUUUGUGAAUCAUUGCCAAUGUCAGAGGCCGCCAAACUUAGCCAGGCGAUCAGCCGAUCAGCACCCUCUAUUGUGGCUUGACCCCAAGGGGUGGAAGGACAGGUCAUCAUUGACACCCAUUUUAGGAUGAGCACCGGAGUGCAAUUCGAGGUUUAUGGCUGAAAAUGCAGCUUCCAUCAUCGCGAAAAAUACCUUCCUGAUUGGACUAUAUAUCACUUCACCAGUUGAGCUGUCAUUGAUGAUAUAGGAGACACCAAUCUAUCCUAGGAUGUGUUCCUGAGUGCCUUUCAAGAUGUAUGGUUGAAAAUGCUGCCUCCAUUAUUGACAACAAUACCUUCUUGAUUGGGCUAUAUUUCAGUUUGCCAGUUGAGCUGUCAUUGACGAUAUAGGAGAGAAGUAUGUAGCGCACACUGUAUACAGACAAUCUUAAAAACUUGCUCAUCACCACAACCUGUGGAUCCUUGCUGCGCGGUCGAUUGCAUCAAUAGCCAUCAUGUUUCGGUUUUCGGACGUGUAGAUCUUGCAGCAGAUAAAGUUUGAGUGCAUCAUGCAUUGAUGCUGAGAUUAUCCUUUGCCUUUGGAGCAGGCGGAGAAGAGAGAACCUGGAUGCAUAAGCUGUAUGAGGUGUUCUAAGUUGGUAUCGGACAAGUCAACAGUGAAGUGGCCAGUAUAGCCUUCCUAUGUCUACUGUGAUAAACAAUCAGUCCAGGCAAUAGCAGGAUGGUUUAAGCCGAUAUUCAAUAUACAGGUAAUAGCUUCUAUAAAGAAGGGAGGAGGGGGGCCUCAAACAAGUCCAGUAAGAUAGAAUUCGUCCCCAUUGUGGAUUCAAUUAGCAGGUCCUAAUGUGAUACCUAACAAGAGAGCUUUCUGAGAGCUGGUUUUGUCGUGAUAAGAGUGUCUGAUUACUUUCCGAGAUAAGAAAUGGAUCUUCAUUCAGGGAGAAAUGUUACGCGCUGAGCUGAAUAAUUGGGACUAGUCAGCAAUCCAGGCAACAUAUGAACAUGAAAAUUUAAAAAUUUUCUCAAGGAGCAUCUCUUGGCAGAAUUUCUUGAAGUAGGUAUAUUCAAGUCAUCUUGAACUUGGGAGAUUAGUUACUAGAGAAAGCAUACCUUGCUUGAGUGAUUUGGUUCCGUGCCUUGUUCCUCUUCGUCUCCCCCUUUCGCUGGGCAUGGUUAUAUGAGUACGUGCCUGCACGGUGCAAUAAUGAGAUGCUGCGGAUUAUGAUAAGGAUUUACAUAUGCAAAAAAAAAUCAGGCAUAACUGGUUCCUGAUGCAGUCUGGAGCCACGACUAACGAGCAGCAUGCUUGCAAUUACAAACAUGCAUGAUUCAUCUGGGUUAGUCAGUCACACAAAGUUCUAUUACAUUCAUAUCAAUCAGCAGUUAUCUUCAAGUACUUGUCAAGCAUCCUGUCCUUAGUCAAGUCAGUGAAGUACCCCUUCUCAACUUCGAGCCCUUGCUCUGCUGCAAUCUGCUCAACCACGGUCUGAACUUGAUAGGCACUGACAUGAUCUGGAUCCAACAAGCAUGCGAUCUCUGUGCAAUCAUCACCAUGGAGAAGCGCAAGAGCUUGCACAGUCGGAAGCCCUCCACCGCGUCCGCUUAAUCUUCGAGUAAUCCGCCUCACAGUUGCAACAUCCUUUGAGAGCACUGGCACAUUGUAUCCCUCAAGAAAAGGUGUCGCGCCAACUGUUGUGGCCCCUUUUUCAGAAGAAACAUUGGUUGGACCCUCAUCAGGCUUAAUUGGCAGAACAUCAGGGAGCAUGGUACCUGACCACUGGUUGCCCAUGUGAUUUGGCCGGUAGUAGCCGAGCUCACGCCGUAUUGCACCUACAGACUUGCCUGUGGGAUGGGCUGCUGCAUAGAGGAACACUGGCACUGCAUACAAAAUUGGGCAAGAAGGGUCAAGCCUACCGUCUGUAACCGGAAGGUCCCGGGUUCGAGCCCCAGCCUCUGCACAUUUGUGUGGGUAAGGCUUGGGGCUUAAAAACAACCCUUCCCCAGACCCCGCACAGUGCGGGAAGCCUACGGCACUGGGUACGCCCUUUAAGAGUCAAGUUUUUUUAAUUGCUUAUGUUUAUUGUAGCUUAGAAAUUUGGCAUACCUUGAAAAUCAUUGCCAAUGUCAGAAGCCAGCUGCUUAGCCAAGGAAGCUGCAUCCUCCAUUGUGGCUUGACCCAGGGGGUGGAAGGACAGGUCAUCAUUGACACCCAUUCUAGGAUGAGCACCGGAGUGCAAUUCAAGGUUUAUGGCUGAAAAUGCAGCCUCCAUCAUCGCCAACAAUACCUUCCUGAUUGGACUAUAUAUCACUUCACCGGUUGAGCUGUCAUCGAUAAUAUAGGAGACAAGUGUGUAGCGUACGCGGUUGUAGAGGCUAUCUUCGAACUUGCUUAGCACCGCAACCUGAGGAUCAGUCUUUGCUGCAAGAUCAAUUGCGGCAAUAGCUGUGGGAUUGCAGCUUUCAGAAAUGUAGAGCUUGCAGCAGAUAAACUUUUGAGUGCAUCAUGCUGAGAUUGUCGUUUGCAUUUGGAGCAAGCGGAGAAGAUAGAACCUGGAUAGCAUAAGUUAUGUGUGAGAUUUUCGAAGCAGGGACUAGACAUUCAGGGAAGUGACCAACACAGUGUCCCUAUAUCUGCUGGCACCACAAGAUAUUUUUGGCCAGUUUGUAGCGGAAUCAGUACAUUGGCAAACUAUGUGCCUUUGGAUCUUCUCACAGACAAAUACCUUGUUUCCAAAUUACCGGUAAUAGCUUCUAUAAAGAAAAAGAAAACAAAAACUGAAACUUAGUCCAAUAAGACAGAGCUUGUUGACAGGAGUUUAUUCAGUAAACAGGUCCUUUGUGAUUCCUAACAAGGCUGCUAUUUGGGAGGCUGGGGCUUUGUCAUUUGUCAUAUCAAUUGUUAGAUUACUUCCUCGGAUAAAAAUCAGAUAAUUUAGUUAUUCAUCUGCAAAGCUAUAUUCAGUUUUCUGCUGACAAAUCAAAAUAUUUAAAUAUUUUUGUAGGAGAAAUGUUCCACCAAGCUGAAUACUUGGUACCAAGUUCAGAGACAGCAAUGCAGGCAGCACAUCAACAGCAGGGUCGUCUUCUGAUUCCAGUUCUGUUUGGCCUGGAAGGCUCGCGGCGUGCUGCAGAGAUCAGAAAAUGCCAGCUCCCGGAGGCAUCCGGGGACUAAGCAGGAGGAGGUCUGCUCUAAUCGCGCGCGAGGCCAAGGGGGCACGCGGAACACGCCGGUGGAGCGUCGUGUGGCUCCGGAGGGCACCGCGCCUUGCAGGGUGCGCGUUACAGUUACACGAGGUCUGCCUGUUUAUCCGCUCCGUGUCCGUGUGGAUAGGAUAGGAUCGGCCGGCUAUCAGCCAGCCACUGGCUGCUGCGUAGAGUAGAUCACGUGCACCGUACUCUAAAGCGUUCUGGUCUGGACUGUCGUCGUCCACGCGCCUG
Panicum virgatum (switchgrass) is the source of this 4618-nucleotide long non-coding RNA. RefSeq lists it as uncharacterized. NCBI's taxonomy places the organism in Eukaryota, Viridiplantae, Streptophyta, Magnoliopsida, Poales, Poaceae. The transcript has 5 exons. The record is from RefSeq and is a predicted model, not a curated record.